GACGAACGCUGGCGGCGUGCCUAACACAUGCAAGUCGAGCGAGAGACUUCGGUCUCUAGCGGCGGACGGGUGAGUAACACGUGGGUAACCUACCUUGUAGAGGGGGAUAGCCUUCCGAAAGGAAGAUUAAUACCGCAUAAUAUUGUUUCUUCGCAUGAAGAGAUAAUCAAAGGAGCAAUCCACUACAAGAUGGACCCGCGGCGCAUUAGCUAGUUGGUGAGGUAACGGCUCACCAAGGCGACGAUGCGUAGCCGGCCUGAGAGGGUGAACGGCCACAUUGGAACUGAGACACGGUCCAGACUCCUACGGGAGGCAGCAGUGGGGAAUAUUGCACAAUGGGCGAAAGCCUGAUGCAGCAACGCCGCGUGAGUGAUGAAGGCCUUCGGGUUGUAAAGCUCUGUCUUCUGGGACGAUAAUGACGGUACCAGAGGA
Molecule: ribosomal RNA, 432 nt
Filed under: uncultured bacterium
Lineage: Bacteria
Description: bacterial SSU rRNA
Rfam family: Bacterial small subunit ribosomal RNA
Source: RNAcentral